UACGUAGGUGGCAAGCGUUAUCCGGAUUUAUUGGGCGUAAAGGGAACGCAGGCGGUCUUUUAAGUCUGAUGUGAAAGCCUUCGGCUUAACCGGAGUAGUGCAUUGGAAACUGGGAGACUUGAGUGCAGAAGCGGAGAGUGGAACUCCAUGUGUAGCGGUGAAAUGCGUAGAUAUAUGGAAGAACACCAGUGGCGAAAGCGGCUCUCUGGUCUGUAACUGACGCUGAGGUUCGAAAGCGUGGGUAGCAAACAGG
RNAcentral lists this ribosomal RNA (253 nucleotides) under uncultured bacterium. RNAcentral's name for it is "partial 16S ribosomal RNA". It matches the Rfam family "Bacterial small subunit ribosomal RNA", at positions 524 to 776 of the family's 1533-position model. The record is from RNAcentral.